AUAAUUCUAGAUACACAACGUUUCUUAUCUAUCAAAGGCCUAUAGAUCCAAAAGAGACUUCUGUAUGCCAGUGCCACCUAAUAUGGAUAAUGGCUAAUCAUGUACACUUCAAACAUCGCAUUGUGGUAACACAAUCAUGAAUCAGAAGCCUUAUAGGACCUCAAAAGUCGAAACGAUCCCACCAAACUGAGCAGGUCAAGCCAUCACAAGAUCUUCCAAAGCACGGCCAAAUACAUUUCGAAAGUUACACUUCGAGCAGCAGAAAAGUCUCAAUCAAAGGCGCUCUACAGCUUAGCAAAAGUGCAAAAGGAAACAAAGAAACAAAGAGGCAACGAUGACACUACCAGCAGAUCCAAAAAAGGGGAAAUGCAUUACACGAAACGAACAAGAGGGUGAUGCUCACCCAAGCCCAACUAGGGCGGCCCUAGCGCAGAUCGACGACUGUCCGUCGCCGAUCUGCACGAGGGCCGCCAUAAUCGGGCUCGAGCGAGGAGACAAGGGAAAAAAUACGAUCGUGCGAGACUCACCAGGUGGUCGGGAGAGUGAACUAAGAGCCGAGAGAGACCCGCGAAAGCUGCGAACAGGAGAUCACAAGAUCCGAGCAAGUGAAUACACGACGAUCUGAGCUCGAGAUUGAUUAGCAAAACGGAAGACGGUAGACAAAUGAGACCUCUGCGAGAGAAGACGACGAAGACGAAGAUGAUUCUUAGGGUUUCUGAAGAGGGGAAGGGAGGGAUGUUGCUC
Rhodamnia argentea is the source of this 744-nucleotide long non-coding RNA. RefSeq lists it as uncharacterized. NCBI's taxonomy places the organism in Eukaryota, Viridiplantae, Streptophyta, Magnoliopsida, Myrtales, Myrtaceae. The transcript is spliced from 2 exons. The record is from RefSeq and is a predicted model, not a curated record.